This 460-nucleotide ribosomal RNA is filed under the name uncultured bacterium. RNAcentral's name for it is "partial 16S ribosomal RNA". It matches the Rfam family "Bacterial small subunit ribosomal RNA", at positions 338 to 795 of the family's 1533-position model. The record is from RNAcentral.
CCUACGGGAGGCAGCAGUGAGGAAUAUUGGUCAAUGGGCGCGAGCCUGAACCAGCCAAGUAGCGUGAAGGAUGACUGCCCUACGGGUUGUAACCUUCUUUUAUAAAGGAAUAAAGUGAGGCACGUGUGCCUUUUUGUAUGUAUUUUAUGAAGAAGGAUCGGCUAACUCCGUGCCAGCAUCCGCGGUAAUACGGAGGAUCCGAGCGUUAUCCGGAUUUAUUGGGUUUAAAGGGAGCGUAGAUGGGUUGAUAAGUUAGUUGUGAAAGUUUGCGGCUCAACCGUAAAAUUGUAAUUGAUACUGGCGGCCUUGAGUACAGUGGAGGCAGGCGGAAUUCGUGGUGUAGCGGUGAAAUGCUUAGAUAUCACGAAGAACUCCGAUUGCGAAGGCAGACUACUAAACUGCCACUGACAUUGAUGCUCGAAAGUGUGGGUAUCAAACAGGAUUAGAUACCCUUGUAGUC